Molecule: long non-coding RNA, 1939 nt
Organism: Artibeus jamaicensis (Jamaican fruit-eating bat)
Lineage: Eukaryota; Metazoa; Chordata; Mammalia; Chiroptera; Phyllostomidae
Exons: 4
Source: RefSeq, a predicted model, not a curated record
AGGGGCGCGGGGCGGGGCAGGCUCGCCCCGCCCCUUCCCUACCCCCUUCUUUGGGCCCCAGCUCCCGGCCUCCUCGCCGGCUCCUGCUCCAUCUCCGCCUGUUGCAGACUCCUGGGCGCACCUUGUGAAAGACACCAGUCCAGGACUUCACUCUUUCGGGAUCCUGGGCGGCCGCGGGCAAAGAACCUAGGGGACUCAGCUGAGACGGAAGGUCAUCCUGACCCGGAGGCCACUUCGAGUCGAUGACCAGAUAAAGAAAAUGUGGUGUAUAUUUGGUAUAUCAUUCCAGUGGAAUAUUAUUCGGCCAUAAAAAGAAAAUCCUUUCAUUUGUGAAAAUGUGAGUGGACCUCGAGGACACUAUACUGAGUGAACUCCCUGUACUUGGACAAAGUACCUCCUGUAAGCUUCUCCGUUCUGAAAUCACUGCGGAGGCCUCGGGCCACACAACUGAGAAAACGCACACGAGGGACGGUUACUGCGGCCUGAAAAGGAACGGCUUUGUUACCGGGUGGGCAGCCGAGCCCAACCCCCCUGCCCCCGGAAACCGUGGUGACGUCACCACGCGACAGCGUCCCCAUAGGGCUUCAAAGGAACCUCUUGCAUUGUGGGAAAGGGGUGCACACGCUCAGAUUUGAGUGCACUCGGUCUAGCAUCCGCACGGGUGUCUGGAACACUUGUUUCUCCCUCCUGUACAAACAGCUCUCCCUUCUGGGAAGAAGGGAGACGUUCCCAUUUCCGGGGCGCAAGGAGAUUCGAGGAAAGGCGUCCAGUCCAGGGGCCGCUAAUCAUAACGGGCCUCACCCCGAGCCUGAAGCUCGUCAGAGGCUCACGUGACUCACUGAUGCUACUAUUUACUGCCCACCUGCCCAAGCGCCUCGUGACUUUCGGUCGCUCGCUACUUUACUCUUCAUUGUGGUAAUAUCUUUAUAAGCAGUACCUUUACUAUCGUUCUACUUCCCCACCCACCUAGGUCCCGGUCCCCAGGCACACGCAGAGCCCACGGCUGGCUCCUGCAGUAAGUCUCCCAGACCCCACUUCUUUUCUUCCUCGGGGGUGCAGAGGUGCGCGCGCAGCUGUCUGCCCCUCGUGGGCGCUGAAGGACAAGGUAAUCCCGGAACUGGCGGUCAGGGGAGUCGAGACAGGCAGUUUUCGCUCGCGUAUGUUGAGACUGCUGCGGUUGGUAUCCAGAAGGUGGGAGGAAGUGGGUGUCACAGGCAGGGUGGCGGUCCUAGAGACUCGUGCGUCUGCUGCUCUGGAGAGAUCCUGAGGUGGAACAGGGAUCCGCGCAUGCCUGUGGUUUGCUGUUUUAUUUGAACAUGUUUUCUGCCCUGGCUGAUGUGGCUCAGUGGAUUGAGUGCCGGCAGAAAGGUCACCAGUUCAAUUCCUUGUCAGGGCACCUCAUGCCUGGGUCUGACACCCCCCCAACUCCCAAGUUCCAGUUGGGACACUGAAAGAAGCAACUGAUGUGUUCCUGUUUCUCUUCCUCUUUUUCCCUCCCUUCCCCUCCCUCUAAAAAUAAAUAAAAUAAUACAAAAAAGAGAACAUAUUUUUCUUCAAGUACUACCUUGUCACUACCAACGAAACAAGUCAUACCUGACUUUUAGAAGAACAAGAAUAUCCUUACUAGAAUUAAGACCAUUUCAAAGUGAAGUUGUCUCUGCUCCAGACAUUCAACCAUGAAAUUCCUGUGCUAGCAAAUACAGAUGAGGCUGUUUCAUCAUUUCAAAUGUCAUAAAUAAGAAAAUUCUUGAAAAUAAACACAAAGCUGCCUAUUUAGCUUUUACCUAAGUAUAGCUUGUUGGAAAACAUUUUUAUGAACUAGUCUAGCACACUGUGAAAUGUGUAUUGAAUGAAUGAAUGGCUCCUCUAUGUGAGGUUUAAAGAUCAAAUACAUGAUUUAUCUGACCAAUGCACAUGGUGGUAGCCUUGCGUAAAUGCU